UGUCACAACGUAUCGUUUUUCUUCUUCAUAGUAGCUGUUAAACCCCAGAGUAUCUUUAAUCUCCUCAAAUGAUGGCAGACUGCUGGGAGGAGGUAUGCGACCACCUUUUAUAGCAAUAAGAGCAUCCUGCAUUGCACGCAUUGAUACCCCAAUCAGAGAUAAUGGGUAUGCUAUGAGUUUAUAACCAGUUUCUUCAAGUUCAGCAGGGCUCAAAAUAGGAGUUUUACCACCACCUUCUAACAUAUCUAACCAUUUUUGGAACUCCAGGUGAUACUGCACAAAAUGCCUUCAUCUCUUCUCUUGAAGCAAGGGCAUCAAUAAAUAGAACAUCUGCUCCAGCAUCUGCAAAAGCGCGUACUCUCCAUAAUGCUUCAUCAAGAGACAAAGCUUGACGAGAGUCUGUCCUUGCCACAAUAACAAUGUCAGAGCCACUCUCCUUCCUGGCAUCUACAGCAGCUUUUAUAUGCAUAAUUGCUUCCUCCCUUGAGACAACUUUCCUUCCCUGUGUAUGUCCGCAUGCUUUUGGAGAUACCUGGUCUUCAAGAAUAAUUCCAGCAAAACCAGCUUUAAUAAAUCCUUUUACUGUUCUCUUGACAUUCAUACAGUUUCCAUAACCAUUAUCAGCAUCACCAAUCACUGGGAUUGAGGCCGCUUCGGUGAUCAGACACCCUUGAUCUAUCAUUUCCCCAUAGGAGAUGAGACCCACAUCAGGCAAUCCAAGUCGCGCAGCAGAUAUUGAGAAACCUGAAAAGACAUAAUAUACAGACCUUGAACCCCGCGCGCCCCACGAGGCGGGCGCUGAGCGCGUCGUAGCACGCGGGCGCCUGGUGGGCGCCGGGGGACUCCAGGACCCUCCGGAGCGCCUCCGCGGGCGACUCCCCGGCGUCGGCGGCGGCGCCGUAGGAGGAGCAGCGCGGGGAGACCACCCUCGCGGCGCGCGCCGAGGCGGGCGAGGGGCAG
RNAcentral lists this small RNA (960 nucleotides) under Oryza sativa Japonica Group (Japanese rice). RNAcentral's name for it is "sRNA Os04g0504650". Lineage: Eukaryota; Viridiplantae; Streptophyta; Magnoliopsida; Poales; Poaceae. The record is from RNAcentral.